RNAcentral lists this ribosomal RNA (250 nucleotides) under uncultured archaeon. RNAcentral describes it as "partial 16S ribosomal RNA". It matches the Rfam family "Archaeal small subunit ribosomal RNA", at positions 474 to 723 of the family's 1478-position model. The record is from RNAcentral.
CACCAGCGCCACGAGUGGCACUCGCGUUUAUUGGGCCUAAAGCGUCCGUAGCAGGUUUCUUAAAUUUCUUGUGAAAUUGCCAGGCUUAACUUGGCAGUGUGCAGGGAACACUGGGAGACUAGAGACCGGGAGGGGUAAGAGGUAUUCCUGAGGGAGCGGUAAAAUGCUAUAAUCUCAGGAGGACCACCUGUGGCGAAGGCGUCUUACUAGAACGGAUCUGACUGUGAGGGACGAAAGCUAGGGGAGCAAA